GUCCACGCCGUAAACGAUGGAUGCUAGCCGUUGGUGGGUUUACCCUUCAGUGGCGCAGCUAACGCAUUAAGCAUCCCGCCUGGGGAGUACGGUCGCAAGAUUAAAACUCAAAGGAAUUGACGGGGGCCCGCACAAGCGGUGGAGCAUGUGGUUCAAUUCGAAGCAACGCGCAGAACCUUACCAGCUUUUGACAUGUCCCGUAUGGGUUUCAGAAAUGAGAUCCUUCAGUUCGGCUGGCGGGAACACAGGUGCUGCAUGGCUGUCGU
RNAcentral lists this ribosomal RNA (266 nucleotides) under uncultured bacterium. RNAcentral describes it as "partial 16S ribosomal RNA". It matches the Rfam family "Bacterial small subunit ribosomal RNA", at positions 793 to 1055 of the family's 1533-position model. The record is from RNAcentral.